Molecule: long non-coding RNA, 448 nt
Organism: Columba livia (rock pigeon)
Lineage: Eukaryota; Metazoa; Chordata; Aves; Columbiformes; Columbidae
Exons: 3
Source: RefSeq, a predicted model, not a curated record
GCUGUUUGCAGGGGGAAAGUCCAGCCGCCCCGGGUUGGAUUUGCUGGUUGUACCUGCUUUUAGAAACGCGUUAUAGAUCGGGUGGCGAGCGUUGCGUUACUAUCGUGCAUCAAGCAGCCUGGCUGAAUCUUCGAGCCAAGACAGGUCUGUGUGCAGCUGUAUGACUCCGACACCCACGGGCUGUGAAGCAGGAUCUUCUCGACAGAUCCAGACUCCAGGAACUUUUAAGAAUUCUCCUAGAGCAUGAAGGGAUUUCAAGAGAUUUAAAUGAAUUUUUUCUGGCCAAAAGAUCAGAUAGUCAGGAAUUCUCAUUAUCUUGCUGCUUCCACCCGACUUUCCACCCCUCUGCUCUUUUGCUUCCUUUGUGAAAAUCUGCUCGCUUAUUUUACAAACCUUAGCAAGAUCCAAGGCCUUGAAGAUCUGACUCUUCAAGGUUGGAGAUCCUAGA